GAUGUUAUUUACUUUUAGAACUAUAUUAAUGGGUUAGAUCCUGGUAUAUGACGACUUUCAAUUUUAAUUCUUCAUUGAACCGAAUUAGAUUGUUGCUACAAAUUGUACAAAUAUAAAAUUUAAAAAAAUAAAAAACUCUACUUUUCAACUUUGUUUACGAAUUUCUAUUAUCAAACAACUAACCCAAAAGCCACUCUCAUCUUUGCCGUUCUUCCUCCAAAGGCGUUAAUACCAAGGAAGCACAGCAGAUCAUGUUAACAGUAACAACGAGAAUCUACAGUCCAAUGGAACUUUUGACUCAAAAAAGUGAUCAAAUCAAAACGUCAUCCCUUUAUACAAUUUCUAUGUAAUUUCCACCCUAAACUUCUUGUAGAAUCCUUAAGAAAAGCUUCUCUCCAGUAAUUCUACAACAUUCCAUCCCUCCACAUAAAAAAGAAACUGAAAAUUAAAACUGCAAACUGAAUCACUUCAACAUAGAACCAUUUGAGCUAUUAAAAGAUUUUCUACUUCUAUUGUCCCCUAUGGAAUCAAGUUCACAGCAAAUUUCCAUAGAUAUGAAUCACCUCUAUUCUCUCAUCACAUCAAUUAACGAAAGAAAUCCUGAAAUCAACGGCUUACCAAUUUGCAUCAUAAUGCAGACUGCAUCACCAGCCAACAGCUCUAAGACUGAGAAUAAUGUUGGGACGACAAUUCUUGGCCUUACUUUUCAGGCAGUUUUGGCUUUGUUCAUUACCUCGUCCACUUCAUCUCCUCCGCUUUUGACACAUCUCUUUGGGGCUGCAGUCUUGAUUAGCUUUGCAGUUUCAUUUCCUGGAGUUUUCCUCCAAGAUGGAUUCCCGAGAAUCGCACUUCUGUUCGAAAAGAUCGGUGCUCUUAUUGCUGCAAUUGGUGUGUGCAUCCUAGCAAGUCUUCUAAUCCAUCAGAACUUUGCUUGGAUCUCUUGGCUGGCUUGUGGCUUCUCCUUGAUGGCUUUUUUGCUAUCAUUUAGAGGGUAGUUUCAUCAGAUUAUUGGUUCUUUAGCUUGUUCAGUAAGAUGUUAAUAUCAUCUAAGAAACAAAGAUGGCAGCAUCAAGAAAGAUGGGUCGUCUCUAUGGUUCAUACAAAUAUGGAGGAACCACAUAUUGGCUGAAGCUUAGUCAUCCUAAAAAAAAUACACAGAUUUGGUAAUUGGAAGUGGAAUUGGAAUGCCAAUGCCGCAAUGUUGUUAUAUUGUUAGCAAAUAUAUAUAAGUAUGUUCUUCAUCUAUGUUAAAUGGGGAUAUAAAAUGGAAAAAAUAUGAGAUCAAUCUUUACAAGAACAUUAGCAGGAAAGGAAUUCUCCAGAGCUUAAAAGAAAAGUGUCCAACCUAAACCAUAUUAGAAAGUUAAAACAGAAUUUCACUUUUUCGUCUCUAUUUCUAACUCUUAACCAUUUGAAUGCAAAUAAAUGAGACGAAUAACAAGAAAAGGAGAGAUGUAUAUUGCAAAAUGAUCAAAAGGCCCGUGGGGGAAAAUUUCCCAUCACUGCUGGAGAAAUUAAAAGAAAACAAUCAAACUAGAAACAUAAGCAUUAACUUAAAAAAAACUUCGAACCCGUGAAAAAAUUGUUACCGUCACAUAGAAAUCUCUUCUUGAUCAAUUAAAAUAGCACUCUCUCGAAGCAUUACAUCACUUGCAUAAUUGAGCGUAUAUUACACUUAAAUGCUUCGAAUUGGGAUGAUUAGAAACCAAAGGUAUAGACUCCUUAGACUAAUAGAUGCAAGACAAUUGUACUUUUAAUAUUUUACCAAAACUCAACAAGUUUCCUACGGAACAUGAAUUUUAGAGCUCCAGUAUUUAUUAUUUCCCCAAAGUUAUUAGGAAAUAUUCAAACUGAUAGAGAUAAACAUUGUUCAGAAGAAGGAAAUAGAUUUAGAAAAAAAGAAAAACAAUAAUGGUAACCUUACCUUCAAAUAGAAAUCCCAAUCAUAUAUAUCCUAUGAUGCAAAACAGAUGCAAAACAGCAGAGCAAUUAGAGAACUUUGAAGACUAGAAUGAUGUAGAAUCCAAAUAACAAAUGUUGAGUUUACACUUAUGUAGAGGCUGCCUAAAUAAGCAUGUGAAUAAUAAAUAGGAAAAAGAAGCAUUAUUCAUCCAUGUAAACAUCCACACUCAUUUUAGAAACAGAAAAAAAUCAAAUUUUAAUUACAGGACUAAACGAAAGUCCUAGGAUUGGCACACAAUCUAAAAAGCAAAAUCUAAACUAAUGAUGAUAUUAAGUGAGCUUGAUGAAAGGGAAACAACAAUCAGAGAACUUUAAAGGCUUGCACGAAAUGGGUAAGCACAUCAUAGCUUCACCUCAAAAGGCCUCAUCAUCUCGAAUGGCUAUUUUACAUACUUUACCAAAUAGAAAAGAGUGAGAUCAACUAAGUAAAAUGUUUUCUAAAGAUAGGUUACAAGAGGUCUUUAAAAUCGAAGACAUCGAGGAGACAAAACUUAACCAAAGACCAAACGGCAAACAUCAUCAAUAAGGGCCCUCCCCAACCCACUAAACACCCUGUUAUUUCUGUCUCCCUCAACCCAUGACAAAGUUGCAACUUAAUAGUAGUCUGAAACUGGUUGGAAACCAUUGACAGGCCACUUGAGUGUGUGGCAGCAAUACCACUCUUCUAUCUUAAUGAACAGAUCCAUAGCUUUAUGAAACCAAUAUUAAAAAAAACAAGAAAACAUAAACAAUAAAGAAAUCGACACAAGGAUUUACACAGUACAUUAACAGUGGGUAUUCAAGUGCAGAAGGAGAGAGUAGUAUAUUAAUAGAGAUUCAAGGCCUUCCAACAAAUAGUAUGGAUAUCAAAUUGUAGGAUCCCACAGACCAGAGUGUAACAUAACAACAUCAAAUGGGUUAUAACUUAUAAGCACAAGAAACUAAGAAAGAAAAUGGCAGGGUGCCCUAAGUCAACCUAAAAUUUGACAUCACAAACUAAAAAGUUAGAACAUAAACCAUAAGAAACUCCACAAAUAUGUUAUUAUCACGAGUAAGUCUUGACACAAUUUUGCGAUAAUAGGCAUUAAAAAGUACUUUUUCCAGCACAAGCAAGCCAUUGUUUGUCGGAAGAAUAGAUGAUCCAAUAUGGGAUAUCAAUGACUAGUAACUAAUUCGAACAACUUCUACUUCACCUGCAUAGAAAAGGAUCUAUGACCUAAAUAGUCUUCAUGGGCUCUGAAAUCCAAUGAUUUAGGUACCAAGCGAGCAGUAAAUCAAGGGCAAUCCAUGAUAUAUACUCAUGGGUUUAACUUUUAAGAACUUGGACAGCACGUUCAGGUUACUUGGGUCACAUACAUGGUUACAAAAAUUGAGAUUGUUGGUAUACAAGAUCUUGUGCUGGUGGCUGUUGAUGACAUAUUGCCAUGUCGGCUAUUGUUCUUGUUUGUCUAAGUUGUAUGGCGUCCAACGAUUUAUCUAACGUCAAUAGAUAAAGUUUUUCCUUGUAGGAGAUGAGUUUUCUAGAUUCUAG
Molecule: long non-coding RNA, 3472 nt
Filed under: Cucumis sativus (cucumber)
Lineage: Eukaryota; Viridiplantae; Streptophyta; Magnoliopsida; Cucurbitales; Cucurbitaceae
Description: long non-coding RNA (CSAT_LNC001925)
Source: RNAcentral